This 625-nucleotide ribosomal RNA is filed under the name uncultured marine eukaryote. RNAcentral's name for it is "SSU rRNA". It matches the Rfam family "Eukaryotic small subunit ribosomal RNA", at positions 576 to 1205 of the family's 1831-position model. The record is from RNAcentral.
UCGGUAAUUCCAGCUCCAAUAGCGUAUAUUAAAGUUGUUGCAGUUAAAACGCUCGUAGUCGGAUUUCGGGGCGGGCCGACCGGUCUGCCGAUGGGUAUGCACUGGCUGGCGCGUCCUUCCUUCCGGAGACCGCGCCUACUCUUAACUGAGCGGGCGUGGGAGACGGAUCGUUUACUUUGAAAAAAUCAGAGUGUUUCAAGCAGGCAUCUCGCUCUUGCAUGGAUUAGCAUGGGAUAAUGAAAUAGGACUUUGGUGCUAUUUUGUUGGUUUCGAACACCGAAGUAAUGAUUAACAGGGACAGUCAGGGGCACUCGUAUUCCGUCGAGAGAGGUGAAAUUCUCAGACCAACGGAAGACGAACCACUGCGAAAGCAUUUGCCAGGGAUGUUUUCACUGAUCAAGAACGAAAGUUAGGGGAUCGAAGACGAUCAGAUACCGUCGUAGUCUUAACCAUAAACCAUGCCGACUAGGGAUUGGAGGAUGUUCCAUCUGUGACUCCUUCAGCACCUUUCGGGAAACUAAAGUCUUUGGGUUCCGGGGGGAGUAUGGUCGCAAGGCUGAAACUUAAAGGAAUUGACGGAAGGGCACCACCAGGAGUGGAGCCUGCGGCUUAAUUUGACUCAACA